Molecule: long non-coding RNA, 225 nt
Filed under: Arachis ipaensis
Lineage: Eukaryota; Viridiplantae; Streptophyta; Magnoliopsida; Fabales; Fabaceae
Description: long non-coding RNA (AIPA_LNC002066)
Source: RNAcentral
GGAGCUACGUCACCGUCGACUUCCACCAGACAAAUAUAACGCCAACACGUAGAGGAGGAAGAUACGAACACUUUUAUCGGAUUAGAUUUUUUAUUGGAGUUACGAAUCACAAGAAAUCAAAGCCGGAAAGUUUUGGGAAGCUCACGGUUUCUUUUCUUUCUUUUGGUUAUAUGUAUAUAUACAUAUGCUGAAAUGCAUAUAAGUAAGUUUCUUUUCCUUUUUCCC